Papaver somniferum (opium poppy) is the source of this 588-nucleotide long non-coding RNA. RefSeq lists it as uncharacterized. The record is from RefSeq and is a predicted model, not a curated record. Lineage: Eukaryota; Viridiplantae; Streptophyta; Magnoliopsida; Ranunculales; Papaveraceae. The transcript is spliced from 2 exons.
AAGAAUUUUUUUUUCUCUUUUCCUUCAAAACCCAAAUGUUAGCCUUUCUUUUUGUUAUCCACUUUCUUGUUUAUUCCGUUCGAUUUACUGAGACCAGACGAAGGAAAAUUUGAUUCUUGCUUUGAGAUUUUGCUGAUCCAUUCUUGGAACACCAGUUACAAUUCAGAGUACGAGAGGAGCUUGCAGCAGCAAGCAGGGCAGAGCUUACGGCAGGCUUUUAGCGCGCCAAAAGUUAAUAUUUUGUUGUUCAUAAUAUUGAUAUCACGGGGAUGGAUCUGGGUAGUCUUAUGUUGCUUCUGAACCCUGUUUUUGUUAUAUUUUGUUGUUCAUAAAAAUAUGGGAAUCGUCUUGCUGGGUAGUUUAUUUUGGUGUUCUCCCAUGUCAUUUUGAUGCGUUUUUGUUGUAUAUAUGAUGGGAACUAGAAGAAAGUCUUUGUGUGGUUUGUAAGGAAAAAUUUGGUUAUGCCGACAUCGAACAGUAUGCAUUCUUUUGGGUCUACUGCAUGUAAAGCUUUUCUUGAUGUCAUUUCAAAGGUGCUGGCAUGUUUUCCUUUAUGUAAUAUUAAUUCUCGGUUUCAGUUCUUUCUAA